RNAcentral lists this ribosomal RNA (300 nucleotides) under uncultured bacterium. RNAcentral's name for it is "bacterial SSU rRNA". It matches the Rfam family "Bacterial small subunit ribosomal RNA", at positions 1083 to 1382 of the family's 1533-position model. The record is from RNAcentral.
AGUCCCGUAACGAGCGCAACCCUUGUCCUUAUUUGCCAGCGCGUAAUGGCGGGAACUCUAAGGAGACUGCCGGUGACAAACCGGAGGAAGGUGGGGACGACGUCAAGUCAUCAUGGCCCUUACGAGUAGGGCUACACACGUGCUACAAUGGCGCAUACAGAGGGCGGCCAACUUGCGAAAGUGAGCGAAUCCCAAAAAGUGCGUCGUAGUCCGGAUUGGAGUCUGCAACUCGACUCCAUGAAGUCGGAAUCGCUAGUAAUCGUGGAUCAGAAUGCCACGGUGAAUACGUUCCCGGGCCUU